CCUACGGGAGGCAGCAGUGAGGAAUAUUGGUCAAUGGACGAGAGUCUGAACCAGCCAAGUCGCGUGAAGGAUGACUGCCCUAUGGGUUGUAAACUUCUUUUAUAUGGGAAUAAAAUGUUCCACGUGUGGGAUUUUGUAUGUACCAUAUGAAUAAGGAUCGGCUAACUCCGUGCCAGCAGCCGCGGUAAUACGGAGGAUCCGAGCGUUAUCCGGAUUUAUUGGGUUUAAAGGGAGCGUAGGUGGAUUGUUAAGUCAGUUGUGAAAGUUUGCGGCUCAACCGUAAAAUUGCAGUUGAAACUGGCAGUCGUGAGUACAGUAGAGGUGGGCGGAAUGCGUGGUGUAGCGGUGAAAUGCUUAGAUAUCACGAAGAACUCCGAUUGCGAAGGCAGCUCACUGGACUGCAACUGACACUGAGGCUCGAAAGUGUGGGUAUCAAACAGGAUUAGAUACCCCAGUAGUC
This 460-nucleotide ribosomal RNA is filed under the name uncultured bacterium. RNAcentral's name for it is "partial 16S ribosomal RNA". It matches the Rfam family "Bacterial small subunit ribosomal RNA", at positions 338 to 795 of the family's 1533-position model. The record is from RNAcentral.